UCAAAAUUAAGAAAUUAUCACAAUGAGGCCAAUAUAAUGGUACAAUCACCUUUGGGCAGAAUGCACUCACUAAGGAUAAAAACCCUGGUCAAAACCUCAGAUGAGUUAAUCAAUGAGUAUACGUUGAGCUUUGAAAGUUGUCACCUUUGGGCUGGCAAAUUCCUCCGUCCAACGCAUUCUCCAAUAACUUCAUCUCAAAUUAAUUUUUAAUUAUAACAUAUAAUCAUCACCUUUAGGCAGAAAAUCACAUGGUACAAUUAAAAAC
This 265-nucleotide long non-coding RNA is filed under the name Trifolium pratense (red clover). Its description in RNAcentral is "long non-coding RNA (TPRA_LNC013226)". Lineage: Eukaryota; Viridiplantae; Streptophyta; Magnoliopsida; Fabales; Fabaceae. The record is from RNAcentral.